UAAACUGGUUCAGUGAGCGCUAAGCUUA
Molecule: non-coding RNA, 28 nt
Filed under: Rattus norvegicus (Norway rat)
Lineage: Eukaryota; Metazoa; Chordata; Mammalia; Rodentia; Muridae
Source: RNAcentral